CGCGGUGCCAGGAGGGGCGCAGAGGAGAGGUCGCUCCUCUCCCGUGCAGCCACCGCAGGCAGGUGAAGCUGCAGCUUCCCACCUCCUGGAGCAGGUGCCUUUGCUCGCAGCCGAGCUGCUCGGAGCUGCUGUGCAGCAGCCGGGCUGGCAGCCCGUGGGUCCGUGCCGUGGGAGGCUGGCAAUGCAGCAGUGGGCUGGGUGCUGACGGAGCAGCCCCGGGAGCUGCCUGUCAUUGCCCUGUCACAACAGCCCGGUGACUGGGACUUGUUAAUGUGAUAGUUUCUCUCCCUGCUUUGUCUGUAACAGAGAACCUGCCACCUUGAGGAAGGGCUUCAGCUCCACUCCCAUCUUUAAAUCACACAGCCAGCGCCGCGGGGAUGAAACUAAGGAGCAAACCAAUAUUUGGCUGCCCAGAUGUACGUUGAAGGCCGGUUCAGCCUUCAGCAAGGAAAAACUUCUGUGCCGUGUCCAAAAUUUCAAGGCGCUGAAUGAGAAGUUCAUCUUCCUGGCACCCUGACAGCGAAUAUUGAUCACAUAACCCCGAGUGCAGGAACUAGGAGACUGCUCAUCCAGCUAACCGCGCCUCACCUGGAUGGUAGCAGCUGUUAGGAAAAAAUAUUGGUCUGUUGACCGUGUUAAAUGGAUGGCACCGCCUCUAAUACAAAUAUACUGUAGGGAAACAGGGAAGGGGAUGCUUCCUGACACCUGUCUUUAAUCUCUGGAUGCUCUGAGUCCCCAAGAUAAGCCAGAACCUGGCCUGAAAGUCCAUGUGGAAAGACAAACUAACUGUGAACCAGACGCAGACAUCAGCGCCCGGGGCGCAGCGCGUACCAAGAUAGCCCACAGCCACCUGCCAGCUUGCCACUGACCUUUUAUCUGCAUAAAUAGUCGUGACCUUUGGGCUGCUCAAAUUAGUGCUAGCUGCUCACCCAGGCCAGUAUCACAGCCCCAUCGUGCACAGGCCUUCCGCUACUUUGACUCUGUUGCCUUCGCUUGGUGAACCAACAGGCAGAGGCACCGUGCUCAUGGCCUCUGUAGGCUGCAAACACCUCGCUGGAGCCUUCGUCCACCACUGAAGGGCACAAAGACCAAGGGAGGGGUCCUGCCACCUGCGGCUGUGUUGUCACUUCUCUGUAGGGCACGGUGAGCCUUCAGCUGCACUCCUGCUUGGGGCAUUAAUUCAGCAUGUCCUUCAGGAGGAGUCCUGAAAGAGUUUUAAAAUCAACAGAAAGAAAUCAUUACCAAAAUGGCCACUCUUUCAGUAAGCCUCAAAAUGAGUUAUUUUGGUUAACACAGAAGUAGUUCACUACGUCACAGAUCUUUCUUUCCAAUAAAGUCUACGUUUUAUUCAGUGGACUGUAAGUUGUGUAGGGUUUAAUGCACAUUAUUUUCUCAGCAGAUGAAAACUAGCAUAUUUAUUUAUUUAUGUAUGUAUUUGCAUCGUUUUACAAACACGUUCUUUCAGAUUGCUUAGGAGACCCUCUGGAUGCCUAGCUGAUGAUAUUGACUACGUCUGAAAGAAGAAGAGUCGGAUACUUAAAAGACAUAAAGCAGGAAAAAAAAAAUACAAUUUUCUAGGUUCUUUAAGUUGAAGACUGCAUAGGCAUAUUCCAGAGAGACUUUACUCUGCCUAAAAUUUGUUUCAAAGCUCUUCUCUUCUGAUUUACUUUAACUGGAGCUAUUUUCUCUCUCUCUGUUCUAGUCACGGGAUAGUGGAUUCCAAAAGCAUUUUUCCACCUGAUGUCCAUUGUGUGCAUGAUGCUUUAAAAAUUCAAUUGACUCCUCUCAACAUUCUAGAGACUUGUUAAGUUGCACCAAGGCAAACUGUCAGGCACGGAAUGAGAAGGUGCUGUUUAUGGCCACAGCCCUUGCUGCCUGCUUUUACCUAUGACAUCUUUGGACAGGAAUAGGAAACCCCACAGGGUUGGGAGGUCAACUUGUUUCACUUGGCUGGCGCCCCCGGACUAGCACGAGUCAUAGAAUGGCGAGGGUUGGAAGGGACCUUAAAGCUCAUGCAGUUCCAACCGCCUGCCGUGGACAGGGCUGCCACCCACCAGCUCAGGCUGCCCAGGGCUCCAUCCAACCUGGCCUUGACACCUCCAGGGAUGGGGCAUCCACAGCCAGAUGGAUGGAUGCCCACGUGCUCUGGGCAGCCCAAAGCUCAGAUGUACAAUUGCUUGCAGAAAGUGAAUUCCAGCCAUAGUUUUUAGCUCCUUCUUUUGUUUUAUCUUUUACAGCAGUUCCAAAAGUGCAUUCACUUGAAACUUCUAAAAGCAAGUUGGUUUGCUUUCACUUGUUCCUCAUUUCAGCUAUCUGGCCCUCCCUAUCUGUGGCUGUACCAGCAGCAAUGCUACCCUGAGCCUCUCACGGGUAAAUAAGAAGUCAACACGCAUGUUUGCAAAGUAUGUUUAACUUGCGUCUUUCAUCUGUGAUUAAUAUUAAAUCUAUUGAGCUACAUAAAUAAGUAAUUCACUUACAGACCUGUCAAACCAAUAGUAAUUUCUUCCCCUCUGAAGCUCUGAGCUAUCCGUUCUAAUUGUUUAAUUUCCUUUUGUGUACCUGGAGAUAAAAACAGCCUGCUAGGCCGCUUCCACUUGGAAAGAAGGGAGGGCUGCCCAGUCACUCUCCUCCUCUGCCUCUUUCCCACUGCGUACAAGGUCUGCAAAUGUCCUUAAAAGCCUUGAGUGAAGAGUAAAAGAGCCAUUUUGCACAUCAUUUCUGCGGUGGUAGCUUGUGCAUGGAAAGUGGACUCCUGCUCAGCCUUCUGGCUUGGAUCACAGCCCUGCAAAAUCAUCUCCACCAAGAGACUAUGGAUCUGUUUCUGUUCUCCUGCAAAUGAAAUUAGCAGAAUUAUAUAAACAUAAAACCAGGGGCAAAUGAGAGGAAACUCAUGUUUGCUCUUUUGUGUUGAUAUGGAGUUGUGCUCCUCGAGCACUAAUAAGGCAGUGCUCUCACGGAAGACUGAGAGCAUGUAUUCAGGCCCCUGGCCUCCCAGUGACUGUGCACAACACUCAGCUCCUUUAAGUUUACAAGUACUUUACAGGUUGCUUAUAGAGAAGAGUAUGAAGUUGGUUUGAGGGAAAAUAAUCCCCAGGUUGGGAAGUCCCUCCUAGCUAAAGAAAGCACUGAGCACAGGGAGUCGAGAGGAAACCUCAUCCCCUCCCCAGUUCAUCCAGGUGCCUAUAUCAAAGCAGCAGGGGAGGAUCUCCCAGCAGCAAGGGAUCCUUUCUGAAACACAGUUGUGUAGGACUUCUCUUUGGAAGCAAUGAUGAGAGAGCACUCCCUCGAAACCCACCCCAGCGCCAUUUCAGGCUGGUGGAGGUGGUGGUACUGGGCUACAGCUCUUAAUCUGUGGGAAUUUUCCUCCCUCCAGCAUUUGCUGCAUAUGUAAAGCCCUGCAUAAGCCAUUGUAGUCUCUGGGAUCUGGGGGUGGAAAGAGGAAUGGAAGAAAUCUUGAAGCAGAAUAUAUUUAGCUUCCUUCUCUUCCAGGAUGCUCCUUCACACCUCACUGUUCAGCGCAUCCAGCCCUGCACCGAGCAGGGGAAAUGCAGCAAAACCAGCAGAGCUUUCUGCAGCAAUGAAGGGGCUUUCAGUAAAGCAGCCUCAGUACUGAAAACAUGAAAGGGACACCACAGUUCUUUAUCAAAGCACAGUUUAACACAAUCCAUGUGAGGGAUGCUGCGUUAGUUCCUAGCACUAUUUAGCUAUACCGAAAGGAAAGGAAAAUAUUAUAGCUAUGCAGAAAUAAAAAAUGGGAUCAAGAUUAGUGGAAAAGGGCAGAAAUGACGUUUACUAAGCUGCCUUUUGCCUGUGAUGUUUGUUCUUUACUGUUUUUCACUUAACAAGACUGCAGAAGACAUUACUUGUCCUUAAAGAGUGCUACUGCAUGCAGAGAGGAACCAGACCGUGGUUAUCUGCUGUAACCGAAAAGCUGACAUUUUGAAGUGGUCAUUAUUCAUUGCAACUGCUCAGAUUGAGGCCAUUUCACAUGGAAACAAUUAAGAGGCAGAAUGCAUAUCAUAACAAAGGAAUGAGAAAGAAAGAUCAGGAAAUACAGGCAGAUUGGAUAAUUCUCUUAAAAUGGAUACCGUAUUUACUGCAAGUGAUUAUAACAAAUCUAAGACUUGUAUUACCACCAGAGAACAGACAUGACUGAAUUGCAGAUUUUCUCAUGCAACCUCAGAGGAAAAAAUUCAGUUUAUUGAUUAAUUCAUAAUUUAGGUCCAGAAUGGAAAAAAAAAAAAUCUCAUUUCAUUUGUGUGCAGGAUGGAAGGAGCCUGAAAAUAAUGAAUUACAAAAGUGGUCACAACUGGAAAUUACAGAUAAAUGAAAACCAAAUAGGAAUGCAAAACAAUAUGGUCCGCGUGUACUUCAGUAAAAGCAAGGGAAAAAUGCAAAUGUGCAUGGAAGGGCAUCCACAGAGAUUGCAGAUUCUUCUCGAGAUCGGCCUAAGUGCAACUGGAGAGAAGAGAAGAGGAUAAAGAACAAAAUCCACUUCUAAAGAGGCGUGUUGUCUUACAUGCAGGAGAUACGGGGGGAGGGUUUCUUUACACUAUCAGAGAAUGAGCGAGGUAAUUACUGGAAGGCAUAUAUUGCAAUAAAGAAUUAUGAAACACCAUUUAAUUCUUCUUUCUGGUUGAGUAAUUAAACAAACAGAAUAUCAGCACUAAACGGUGUGAGACGGAUGAGACACCAUGAGCCUUAUACAACCAGGAGCCAGGAUGUCCAUGUCCCUCGGUCCUAAAACAGUCAUCUGUGUUUGCAAGGAAGUUCGGAAAUCACUUAGCGAAGAUAUCGAUACUGGAUCUCCUAGUGGCAUAAAUGCCACACCUUUCUGCUGUGUACACAUUCACACGCCGAAUUUCAUUAUGCCCCCCAAAAUGAGUGACUUAAACUUGGACAAUUAAGUG
Gallus gallus (chicken) is the source of this 4910-nucleotide long non-coding RNA. The record is from Ensembl. NCBI's taxonomy places the organism in Eukaryota, Metazoa, Chordata, Aves, Galliformes, Phasianidae.